Molecule: ribosomal RNA, 289 nt
Filed under: uncultured microorganism
Description: partial 16S ribosomal RNA
Rfam family: Archaeal small subunit ribosomal RNA
Source: RNAcentral
GCGCAGCAGGCGCGAAACCUCCGCAAUGCGCGAAAGCGCGACGGGGCCACCCCGAGUGCCGCCCGCUGAGGGUGGCUUUUCCCCGGUGUAGACAGCCGGGGGAAUAAGGGGAGGGCAAGUCUGGUGUCAGCCGCCGCGGUAAUACCAGCUCCCCGAGUGGUGGGGACGAUUAUUGGGGCCUAAAGCGUCCGUAGCCGGCCCAGCAAGUCUCCCGUUAAAUCCGAGCGAUCUAAUCGCUGGACUGCGGGAGAUACUGCUGGGCUAGGGGGGCGGGAGGAGGCCGGCGGUA